UACGUAGGUGGCGAGCGUUGUCCGGAUUUACUGGGCGUAAAGGGAGCGUAGGCGGACUUUUAAGUGAGAUGUGAAAUACUCGGGCUCAACUUGAGUGCUGCAUUUCAAACUGGAAGUCUAGAGUGCAGGAGAGGAGAAUGGAAUUCCUAGUGUAGCGGUGAAAUGCGUAGAGAUUAGGAAGAACACCUGUGGCGAAGGCGAUUCUCUGGACUGUAACUGACGCUGAGGCUCGAAAGCGUGGGGAGCAAACAGG
RNAcentral lists this ribosomal RNA (253 nucleotides) under uncultured bacterium. Its description in RNAcentral is "partial 16S ribosomal RNA". It matches the Rfam family "Bacterial small subunit ribosomal RNA", at positions 524 to 776 of the family's 1533-position model. The record is from RNAcentral.